CCCUAAACCCUAAACCCUAAACCCUAAACCCUAAACCCUAAACCCUCAACCCUAAACCCUAAACCCUAAAUCCAGAUGGUCGGUCGAUGCUGAAACCACGCCGAGCCUGCGAUAAUUGUGGUUUCGGCCACGCCGCGCUCGGUGUGCGAGAAAACACUCGCGAACGAAUCUCGAUCGAUCGUCAAUCGUUCGCCUCCUCCGCACCUGACGACCGAACGAACGACGACGCGCGGGAGAGAACGCAGGAAAGAGACCUGCGCGGUCGCGGAGGAGCGAGCGAGGGACGCGAAGCGCAUCGAAACGACAUGGUCUACUACUAGAGCUACUCGCACACGCACCCGCCGCGCCGUCACCAGCUGAGCGAGGCAGGGCGAAGAAAAACAAAAGACGCGCCGCGCCGCGCACCGUCGCCUCGCGACUACGCCCCCUCUUCUACCUCCCCAGCUAUCCACUGCAGCACAUGCGGGUGGUCAUACGCGGCGUCUUCGCAAUCCUUCGGAUUCCACGGCGCGCCGUUCGCGCGCGCCCACUGAAGCACCUCCAGGUGGCCGCCGCUCGCGGCAAGGCGGCAAGGCGCCUCGCUCCACGGACAUCCGUUCGCUCGCGCCCACUNNNNN
RNAcentral lists this long non-coding RNA (617 nucleotides) under Micromonas pusilla. RNAcentral describes it as "long non-coding RNA (MPUS_LNC000132)". The record is from RNAcentral. Lineage: Eukaryota; Viridiplantae; Chlorophyta; Mamiellophyceae; Mamiellales; Mamiellaceae.